Molecule: ribosomal RNA, 253 nt
Filed under: uncultured bacterium
Lineage: Bacteria
Description: partial 16S ribosomal RNA
Rfam family: Bacterial small subunit ribosomal RNA
Source: RNAcentral
UACGAAGGGGGCUAGCGUUGCUCGGAAUUACUGGGCGUAAAGGGCGCGUAGGCGGACAGUUUAGUCGGAGGUGAAAGCCCAGGGCUCAACCUUGGAAUAGCCUUUGAUACUGGCUGUCUUGAGUUCGGGAGAGGUGAGUGGAAUGCCGAGUGUAGAGGUGAAAUUCGUAGAUAUUCGGCGGAACACCAGUGGCGAAGGCGACUCACUGGCCCGAUACUGACGCUGAGGCGCGAAAGCGUGGGGAGCAAACAGG